GCUCUUUACAGCCUGGUGUCUAGCCUCGGCAGAUAAAAGAGAUCCUCACUUUGUUAGUGUUCCAAACCUGCAGGAAGAAGCCAGACAAAAUAGCCCCCCGAACCUUAAGGCAGAGGUCUCCCAGUGGCAUCGGCUCAAAGACCUGGUCUCCAAACUGGCACACAAAGCUGCGGGGUCUGGCACCACAUCUACUGGGAAGCAAAGCACAUGUAGGUAGGUACAGUUAUAAGCACAGCAAUAGGACAUGGAACGGGGCAAGAUAAGGUGGGUUAUGGGAGUUACAUUUCAGAUUAAAUUAAUUUGGUCCCAUUCUUUCCCUUUGUAGAUCUCAAGUUCCUCUAGAUGGUUCCACUCAGCACCCUCAAAGAAUAAUCUUUCCCGGACUGGUCAUCAGGCCCCGCAACCAAAGGGGACCCUUCCACUGAGCUGUGUCUUGUGGAGAUUAAACACUCUGCCCAAAAUCAUCCGGCACUUGCACUUCACAGAGAGAUUCUCUGAGGGGAACCAGGAUGGCGCUACAAUGUUCUCAGAGAGGAUCCAGGAGCAGCCCUUGAAAUUCAGAGGUAUCGGUAUGGUGCCUUGAGAAACCUGGACAGACCUGAAAUACUGACACAGGAACCAGGACGCAGGUCUGUGCAAUAAAUGGAUGACUCAAUGGAGAACUCGUGGUGUUCUGAGAAACCAGGAAAGGCCCGUGGUGCUAAAGGAACCAGGAAAUGGCUGCACAGGUCAGAGGAAUCCAUAAAGUAUGAUGAGAUCUGGGACAAGUCUCCAGUAUAGGGAAUACUAUAAAGGGUGCGCAGGAAGGAACUAGGCUGGUAUC
Xenopus tropicalis (tropical clawed frog) is the source of this 823-nucleotide long non-coding RNA. RefSeq lists it as uncharacterized. Lineage: Eukaryota; Metazoa; Chordata; Amphibia; Anura; Pipidae. The record is from RefSeq and is a predicted model, not a curated record. The transcript is spliced from 2 exons.